UACGGAGGAUCCGAGCGUUAUCCAGAUUUAUUGGGUUUAAAGGGUGCGCAGGCGGGAAAUUAAGUCGGUGGUGAAAUUUUGCAGCUCAACUGUAAAAGUGCCAUUGAUACUGGUUUUCUUGAGUGUGGAUGAAGUAGGCGGAAUUUGUGGUGUAGCGGUGAAAUGCAUAGAUAUCACGAGGAACUCCGAUUGCGCAGGCAGCUUACUAAACCAUAACUGACGCUCAGGCACGAAGGCGUAGGGAUCAAACAGGAUUAGAUA
This 261-nucleotide ribosomal RNA is filed under the name uncultured prokaryote. Its description in RNAcentral is "partial 16S ribosomal RNA". It matches the Rfam family "Bacterial small subunit ribosomal RNA", at positions 524 to 784 of the family's 1533-position model. The record is from RNAcentral.